Molecule: ribosomal RNA, 429 nt
Filed under: Actinomycetes bacterium
Lineage: Bacteria; Bacillati; Actinomycetota; Actinomycetes
Description: Actinobacteria bacterium partial 16S ribosomal RNA
Rfam family: Bacterial small subunit ribosomal RNA
Source: RNAcentral
UAGGGAAUCUUCCGCAAUGGGCGAAAGCCUGUCGGACCAACGCCGCGUGAGUGAUGAAGGUCUUCGGAUCGUAAAACUCUGUUAUUAGGGAAGAACAAAUGUGUAAGUAACUAUGCACGUCUUGACGGUACCUAAUCAGAAAGCCACGGCUAACUACGUGCCAGCAGCCGCGGUAAUACGUAGGUGGCAAGCGUUAUCCGGAAUUAUUGGGCGUAAAGCGCGCGUAGGCGGUUUUUUAAGUCUGAUGUGAAAGCCCACGGCUCAACCGUGGAGGGUCAUUGGAAACUGGAAAACUUGAGUGCAGAAGAGGAAAGUGGAAUUCCAUGGGUAGCGGUGAAAUGCGCAGAGAUAUGGAGGAACACCAGUGGCGAAGGCGACUUUCUGGUCUGUAACUGACGCUGAUGUGCGAAAGCGUGGGGAUCAAACAGG